CCAUGUUUUAUCCCUGGAUGGAACGGUUUUCCCUUCCGAUGGCUAUGGGAGGAGGAAGAAGGAUGAAAGAAGUUACAAGGCAAUCUGACCAAAGGCAGUUUUAACCUCAUUGGAUCAUAAUUACCAUGCUGGCAUGUUUGCACAAGGCACAUGAGGCAGGUUUAAGAGGAAGACGGAUUGAUGAAUGUACAAGCUGUUUGUAAAGAGCAGCUGAGCAAUGUUCGAAUUGGAGAUAAAACCCAAACCAUCAUGUGCAGAUGAAACACAAAACCUGUUGAACUAAUCGAUGACCUGUUGAGGCACAUUCUGCCAAUCUACCAGAAAGAUGUCUUGGUGGGGAGAAAAAUGGAAGAAGGUCAGUUGCUCCCAUUUAUUUUGUAUUUCAUGCUGAUUGAUUUUUCAAAAGCCUCAGCUCUGCGGGCUCAUCCUCGGAUUCAGCUGAAAUGAUGUUUUUAUUCACUUGUUUUGGUGUUGUCAUUGUUUUAUGUUUCUC
Long non-coding RNA from Ornithorhynchus anatinus (platypus), 493 nucleotides. RefSeq lists it as uncharacterized. The record is from RefSeq and is a predicted model, not a curated record. NCBI's taxonomy places the organism in Eukaryota, Metazoa, Chordata, Mammalia, Monotremata, Ornithorhynchidae. The transcript has 3 exons.